Molecule: ribosomal RNA, 376 nt
Filed under: Klebsiella sp. CK17
Lineage: Bacteria; Pseudomonadati; Pseudomonadota; Gammaproteobacteria; Enterobacterales; Enterobacteriaceae
Description: bacterial SSU rRNA
Rfam family: Bacterial small subunit ribosomal RNA
Source: RNAcentral
CGGGCUCAACCUGGGAACUGCAUUCGAAACUGGCAAGCUUGAGUCUUGUAGAGGGGGGUAGAAUUCCAGGUGUAGCGGUGAAAUGCGUAGAGAUCUGGAGGAAUACCGGUGGCGAAGGCGGCCCCCUGGACAAAGAUGACGCUCAGGUGCGAAAGCGUGGGGAGCAAACAGGAUUAGAUACCCUGGUAGUCCACGCCGUAAACGAUGUCGACUUGGAGGUUGUGCCCUUGAGGCGUGGCUUCCGGAGCUAACGCGUUAAGUCGACCGCCUGGGGAGUACGGCCGCAAGGUUAAAACUCAAAUGAAUUGACGGGGGCCCGCACAAGCGGUGGAGCAUGUGGUUUAAUUCGAUGCAACGCGAAGAACUUCCCUACUCU